Clupea harengus (Atlantic herring) is the source of this 575-nucleotide long non-coding RNA. RefSeq lists it as uncharacterized. NCBI's taxonomy places the organism in Eukaryota, Metazoa, Chordata, Actinopteri, Clupeiformes, Clupeidae. The record is from RefSeq and is a predicted model, not a curated record.
AAAAGGAUGGAGACAGUGAAUUGCAGUGACCUGCUGAUUAGUACUUAGUACUCUUAGGUGACGGGUGGACAGGUGACCUUUUAGAAUAUUAUUUUUUUACCUGGGAAUGUACACCAUCUGUCCCUGCCUGUCUUUCUUGUUCAAGACUCCAUCCCUUUUUUGGUUGAGAUAGACAGAAGCAAGGGAGGAGAGGAGUAGGUAUAACGAGCACAAAAGAGGGUCUCACCCAUCGCUUAGGCAUUGUUGACUUUGGCAGAGAAAGCAGCACAUCCUUCCAUCUGAUCCAGAAAACUGACAGAGACACUAGUGCGAUGGUUGGCUGUGGUCCCUGGGUGGCAGUGUUGAGCCUGUUCUGCCUGCUCUCAGCAGGCCGACUUGAGGAAGUGGAUGCGGGUGGUUUGUGUACCCAGUACUCAGAGGGCAACUUUAUGGAAAUGACGGAUUUCUUUAUCAUGACCGAGAAGGAGAGCGCCUUUCACCUUGUGGUAAGUAUGUGCGUGUCCAGUUUAUCCAGGCUAAAACAUAACCUCUUAACGACAGCUACUUGCACAUAGCCUGGUGCCUGUAGUUCAGCU